RNAcentral lists this ribosomal RNA (962 nucleotides) under Pseudoalteromonas sp. 86. RNAcentral describes it as "bacterial SSU rRNA". It matches the Rfam family "Bacterial small subunit ribosomal RNA", at positions 64 to 1024 of the family's 1533-position model. The record is from RNAcentral. Lineage: Bacteria; Pseudomonadati; Pseudomonadota; Gammaproteobacteria; Alteromonadales; Pseudoalteromonadaceae.
UAACAGAGAGAGAAGCUUGCUUCUUUGCUGACGAGCGGCGGACGGGUGAGUAAUGCUUGGGAACAUGCCUUGAGGUGGGGGACAACAGUUGGAAACGACUGCUAAUACCGCAUAAUGUCUACGGACCAAAGGGGGCUUCGGCUCUCGCCUUUAGAUUGGCCCAAGUGGGAUUAGCUAGUUGGUGAGGUAAUGGCUCACCAUAGGCGACUAUCCCUAACUGGUUUGAGCAGGAUGAUCAUACCACACUGGGACUGAGACACGGCCAGACUCCUACGGGAGGCAGCAGUGGGGAAUAUUGCACAAUGGGCGCAAGCCUGAUGCAGCCAUGCCGCGUGUGUGAAGAAGGCCUUCGGGUUGUAAAGCACUUUCAGUCAGGAGGAAAGGUUAGCGGUUAAUACCCGUUAGCUGUGACGUUACUGACAGAAGAAGCACCGGCUAACUCCGUGCCAGCAGCCGCGGUAAUACGGAGGGUGCGAGCGUUAAUCGGAAUUACUGGGCGUAAAGCGUACGCAGGCGGUUUGUUAAGCGAGAUGUGAAAGCCCCGGGCUCAACCUGGGAACUGCAUUUCGAACUGGCAAACUAGAGUGUGAUAGAGGGUGGUAGAAUUUCAGGUGUAGCGGUGAAAUGCGUAGAGAUCUGAAGGAAUACCGAUGGCGAAGGCAGCCACCUGGGUCAACACUGACGCUCAUGUACGAAAGCGUGGGGAGCAAACGGGAUUAGAUACCCCGGUAGUCCACGCCGUAAACGAUGUCUACUAGAAGCUCGGAGCCUCGGUUCUGUUUUUCAAAGCUAACGCAUUAAGUAGACCGCCUGGGGAGUACGGCCGCAAGGUUAAAACUCAAAUGAAUUGACGGGGGCCCGCACAAGCGGUGGAGCAUGUGGUUUAAUUCGAUGCAACGCGAAGAACCUUACCUACACUUGACAUACAGAGAACUUACCAGAGAUGGUUUGGUGCCUUCGGG